RNAcentral lists this ribosomal RNA (460 nucleotides) under uncultured bacterium. Its description in RNAcentral is "partial 16S ribosomal RNA". It matches the Rfam family "Bacterial small subunit ribosomal RNA", at positions 338 to 795 of the family's 1533-position model. The record is from RNAcentral.
CCUACGGGAGGCAGCAGUGAGGAAUAUUGGUCAAUGGGCGCUAGCCUGAACCAGCCAAGUAGCGUGAAGGAUGACUGCCCUAUGGGUUGUAAACUUCUUUUAUAUGGGAAUAAAAUGAAGCAUGUAUACUUCUUUGCAUGUACCUUAUGAAUAAGGAUCGGCUAACUCCGUGCCAGCAGCCGCGGUAAUACGGAGGAUCCGGGCGUUAUCCGGAUUUAUUGGGUUUAAAGGGAGCGUAGAUGGGUUGUUAAGUCAGUUGUGAAAGUUUGCGGCUCAACCGUAAAAUUGCAGUUGAUACUGGCAUUCUUGAGUACAGUAGAGGUAGGCGGAAUGCGUGGUGUAGCGGUGAAAUGCUUAGAUAUCACGAAGAACUCCGAUUGCGAAGGCAGCUUACUGAACUGUAACUGACGCUGAUGCUCGAAAGUGUGGGUAUCAAACAGGAUUAGAUACCCGGGUAGUC